Anas platyrhynchos (mallard) is the source of this 2524-nucleotide long non-coding RNA. RefSeq lists it as uncharacterized. Lineage: Eukaryota; Metazoa; Chordata; Aves; Anseriformes; Anatidae. The record is from RefSeq and is a predicted model, not a curated record.
AAGUGGUCCCAACGCCCACCAGCAGACCUUCAUCCCAGAGAGAAACCUCUUUCACCAGGAGGGUAGCGCAGAGCUGGGGUGGGUUUUUAGGCAGGGACAGGUCUCUGUCCUUGGAGGCCCUCCUUCCUGGAGGUUUCCAAACGGAGCUAAGGAAAGCAGUGGCUGCCUUGCUCUGCCCCUUGUGGCACGUCCACUUUGAGCUGCAAGUUGGACCAGAGAGCCCCAGCCAACAUAACUUUGGUACAGUGAGUCUGAAAAAUCACCCAGGGUGAUUUUAGGGGAAGGAUGAUUUUAGGGAUUUUUUGCUUAGGGGAAGGUUUCAGGAAAUCCCAGGUCAGUCCAAACAAAGGUUUCCUUGAAGCAGCUUCAGAGAGUGAAAUUUGAGGUUCCCAACCCCAGAUCUCUAGCUCAAACCCUAGCUGGCCUUCCAGCCACUGCAUCCAACUCUAGAGGGGGAGACGAGACAAGCAGAUGACGAGAAGCAUUCAACAGCAUCCUCUCAAAACAUUUUGCUCCCUUUCUGUUUUCUCUCUGUUACACUUGAGCAGUUUCUGAUGCCAUUUGCACUCUGCAUGCUGCUGAGCGUGCUGAAAGUUGCUGAACACCUUCCCAGUGCUGCAAAGCCUCAGCUUUCAUUUACUUUGAGAGAAGUGGCUGACACACCACACACCGUAGGAUGUUUUCCUGCUGGGCCUAUGCAAAGAGGAGCUCGGGCACUCAUUUGUUGUCUCUUGGAUCUGGAUUUAAUGGCACCCUCAGACUGCAGUCACACUGCACACCUGGAGGCAACGCCAUCCAUCGCUGCGGGGCUGGUGCUGGAGCACAGGGCCCACUGUGCCCCUCUCCUCCCAAAACACCCCCGUGCUUCGUUUUCAACCAAGGAGCAAGGAGGAAUCUGUACGUUAAGUACUGAGAAGUGAGUAACCUGCUGCCAUUGCCCAGGGUUGCAGCCCCUUUCAAUGUCCUCGUAUUUGAUAUCUGCCCCCAGCGUGCAGACCAAAAGAGCUAUUUGUAAAUCUCGACUGCUUUUUAAAAUGGAGGUGUCCAGGUCUUCCUGAACUGACUUAUUUCACGUUGCUCAGCGCCACCUCUCUGUUUUAAAUGUAGUAUCUUAAAUCUCUCAGGAAUAUCUUGAAUUUAAUAUCUGAAAUUUCUCAAGAGCACAGUUAGGCCAAUUGCUUCCUGCUACAAACUCCCCAUUUCCACAGGAAAAGACUUCUGUUACGCCAAACUCAGAAUGACGUUUCGCAGCUGGCUCUCCCCAGUGGUGCAGCUUCAUGGUGGGCUUGGUUUGGGGAGCUCAAUCCUUUUGCUAAGAGCUUCAGCCCCAUGUGUGUCUGUGGGGAAAUACCGGUGAGGAAGGGGCAGCAGUGGCUGGGCGAGUGAUGGGAAGGCUGCGAGGCAGCCCGACCACUCGCUAUGAAGAUAUGCUGAUAGAUUUAUUAUAUUUAUACUUGGAGUUAUCUUACCGUGAAGCAAACACAAGCAUCCACCACCACUUAAAGCUAUGUGACUUCGUUAUAUUUGAUCCAUGUCGUGGCUCCCACUUGCAUCGCAGUGGAAAGCACAGGUAGCAAAAGCACCAGCUUUCUGGGGGGACUUUAUUUCUUCCCAGUGUCUCAGCAGUCUCACACAAGCUGUCUAACCCUCUGCGUGAAACACCCUUCAGUUUUGCAGAAUCAAUCCAGAAUUCAGCAGCACACACCCCAAGCUUUUAUUAUUAUUUACAUUUUUAUAGCGCACAGAUGCAGAUAAUAGGCAUUGAAGUAUUCAAGGUAAAUAAUGCGCUUUAAAAUCUUUGUAAAAAAAAAAAAAAACACACGCCGCAAAACAGUCUGGUUAGCAGACACUACCUAGGCAUUCGAAGCCUAAUUAUAUUCUUAGUCAAUUCUGAUUUACAUUUAAAUUACAAAUUGCGUUUUGCUAGCGUUAAUUUACAAUGCUCCUUAAAAAAAAAAAAAUACAUAUUCCAUGGUACAUGAAUAAUAAUUCGAAGCAGUCAGAUCUGGCUGGGUUGCUAUGAUCUCUCGAUAGUGGGUGCUGAAUAUUAAUAUUUCUAGAAAGUUUUCUCCAUUUCGGCGUAGCGUUUCUCAAGCCCUGCAGCAUUGUAAUUCAGCCAGCCCUCCGUGGUGCAGCCGGUUGCCAUAGGAUUUGCAGCACAAUCUGCCUGCACAUGCAUUUUUUAGAAGACUGCAGCGUGGAAAAAAGGCCCUGGAACAUGGACACUCGUCACAGGGCCGGAACAAGGAGCUUUCUAUGAAUCACCGCCGGCUGUGGCCGAGCUAAAUGUCAAGAACUGAGCGGGACAGAUUCACACCAGUAUGGGCUGGGAGGUUUUCGAGGAACAGCAGGAGGGGAGCACAGGGUUGGUCGCAGCCCUGGUGCAGUGUGUUAGGGUACAUUUUGCUCCAAGACUUUUUGCUUAAAUAUUUUUUCUUGCUCAAAACCUUUUUUUUUAAAGAUCAUGAGCAAUAUGAUUUCAGUUUUGUUUUCCCAGAAAGCUUCUUUUUUAAUUUUCUUUUCU